AGCUUUUUGAAUUCGUGCAGGGACCUCGUCAGACAUUGACCCAUUUGGGCUGAUCAGACUUCCAAGAUAAGUGAAGCU
RNAcentral lists this microRNA precursor (78 nucleotides) under Schistosoma mattheei. RNAcentral describes it as "mir-3492 microRNA precursor family". It matches the Rfam family "mir-3492 microRNA precursor family". Lineage: Eukaryota; Metazoa; Platyhelminthes; Trematoda; Strigeidida; Schistosomatidae. The record is from Rfam by way of RNAcentral.